RNAcentral lists this ribosomal RNA (1152 nucleotides) under Triticum aestivum (bread wheat). RNAcentral describes it as "partial small subunit ribosomal RNA". The record is from RNAcentral. Lineage: Eukaryota; Viridiplantae; Streptophyta; Magnoliopsida; Poales; Poaceae.
AUGACGGCGGUGGCGCCGAAGGUCGAGAAGGAGGAGGAGCAGGUGGUGAACCCGUGGGAGGUGUCGGCCGGUAAGGGCGGCAUCGGCUACGACAAGCUUGUCGACCAGUUCGGCUGCCAGCGCCUGGACGCAGCGACCAUCGACCGCGUCGCGCGCCUCACUGGUCGCCCCCCGCAUCGCUUCCUCCGCCGCGGUCUCUUCUUCGCCCACCGGGAUUUCAACGAGAUCCUUGACCUGUACGAGAAAGGCGAGAAGUUCUACCUAUACACGGGGAGGGGCCCCUCGUCGGAGUCCCUGCACCUCGGCCACCUCGUCCCCUUCAUGUUCACCAAAUAUUUGCAGGAUGCUUUUAAGGUGCCACUGGUAAUACAGCUCACUGAUGAUGAGAAGUUCCUGUGGAAGAAUUUGACUGUUAACGAAAGCAAAAGGCUUGCACGUGAAAAUGCAAAAGACAUCAUAGCAUGUGGUUUUGAUGUUGAAAAGACUUUCAUGUUCUCUGAUUUUAAUUUUGUUGGAGGUGCCUUUUAUGAAAACAUGGUUAAAGUUGCCAGAUGUGUGACAUAUAAUAAGGUUGUAGGAAUAUUUGGAUUCAGUCAAGAGGAUCACAUACGAAAGAUUAGCUUUCCUCCUGUGCAAGCAGUUCCGUCAUUCCCUUCUUCAUUUCCCCAUCUCUUCUCUGGCAUGGAACAACUACGUUGCCUGAUCCCAUGUGCAAUAGACCAGGAUCCUUAUUUCAGGAUGACCCGUGACGUUGCCCCUAGAAUUGGUUGUCAAAAGCCAUCACUGACUGAAUCCAGAUUUUUCCCUGCUCUUCAGGGGGAGAGCACGAAAAUGUCAGCUAGUGAUCCAAAUUCUGCGAUAUAUGUGACAGAUAGUGAAGAAGAAAUAAAGAAGGUGAACAAAUAUGCUUUCUCAGGUGGCCAAGACUCAGCGGAACUCCAAAGAGAGCUUGGAGCUAACCUUGAGGUGGAUGUCCCGGUUAAGUACCUGAACUUCUUCCUUGAAGACGACGAUGAUCUCGAGCAGAUAAAGAAGGGUUACGGGGAUGGAAACCUGCUAACUGGUAAAGUGAAGAAUCUUCUUGGUGACGUUCUAUCUGAGCUGGUUAAAAGACAUACGAGAGCUAGAGCUCAAGUGACAGGAGAUGGUUGA